GCUAAGAAAAAGCACCAAUACUGUUCUUUAUGAAUGCAGGUUGUGCAAUCAGCCUCCCAAACAUGGCACUGAAAAUGGAAUUCCCACUUUCAUAGCUGGCUCUGUAGAUUUACCCCACUGAAGUUCUUCAGAAGACAAGCAUGCUGGAAAAUGCACAGUUCUGGGAGAAGGACUGCCAGCAUUACCAUGGAAACCCCCAAAAAUAAAGACUCCCAGCCUUAUGAGAGUACACCUGCAAGAGCAAGAACUGCCUAUCAAAAGGGACUUCUUGAUUAUGGGUGUCACCUAAGGACAUUUUGUGAGAACUGGAGCUUCCUGUUGUACAAAUGACAAAUUCUCCCAAAGAAGUCUGGUGCUUCUAAGAAGAGAUAUUUCCAAAAGUGCACAGGAUCUCGGGGUCAGGAAUAGCACUUCAGAGUGAAGAAAUUGUUAGAACCAACGCAAUCUAAUCUGCUCAAAAAGGACUCACGUUUGUUUCAGGAGUGACUUUCCUUGGACAUCAGUGAUUAAUGGAAACUCCAGAUCACUCCAGUAAAAUGCAGUCUCACAAGGAAGAACCUGCAACAUCUCAGAGAUCACAGUCUUAAAAAGGAUCCAAACCCAGUGAGCAACUGCAUCCUCCAUAAAUGAAACCUGUCCAUCUUCUAAAAAUCAUCUCAUGGGGAGGAGAUGUCCACAGUAACAGCAACCAACUAUAACAGCAACCCAGGAGAAGCUAUGGCUAAGGCUCCACAUCAGAAAAUCUCCUGCUUGUGUAAGCCCAUGACCCAACAGUCACAGUACCUGCUGAUUUAAAUGGUGAGGAAGAUUUGGGAACAGGAGCCUAACUAUGGUGCCAAGUGAGAAUCACUGACCUCAAUGGGCCCUGCAAGUGCACCCUGAAAACUCAUCCAUUUUGUAUUUCUUCUGGCCCAGAGUGUACAAAGAGGAGGCCCCACCAUGGAGGUGACAGCACCUGGAGCUCAAGGAUGCUGCUGUGGCUGUGCCCUGCAGCUCCCAGCCCAUCCCUGCACAUCCCGCACGGAUCCUGCCCCACCGGGAUCCGCACAGGAAGGGUGGGGCGGGCUCCUCACCUCCUGUCUGCAGAUAGCACAUCCUGAACCAACACUGCCCCUUUUCCUCCUUCCACACAGCCCCGGCGGAAAAGGAGAACGGCCACUGGGGAGGCGCCUCGGCUCCCACGGACACACGCGAGGGAGGGAGACCAAGGAGAGAUGGGCAGAGACUGCACCUAGCAUGGAGCCAUGGGACCUCCCUGAGCAGGGCCUGCACCCAGCACAGAGAGACUGCACUCAGCACAGAGCCAUGGAACCUUCCUGAGCAGAGACUGCAACCAGCAUGGAGCCAUGGGACCUCCCUGAGCAGAGACUGCACCCAGCACAGAGAGACUGCACCCAGCACAGAGCCACGGAACCUCCCUGAGCAGAGACUGCAUCCAGCACAGAGAGACUGCACCCAGCACAGAGCCAUGGAACCUCCCUGAGCAGAGACUGCAUCCAGCACAGAGCCACAGGACCUCCCUGAGCAGAGAGUGCAUCCAGCAGAGCCACAGGACCUCCCUGGAGAUGGCCUUGGCCUCCUGCGAGUCCAUCCCGACUCCUACAGCUGCUCCUGCCCUAUGAUGGGAAAAGGUUUGUGUAUGCACACCUGAGAACCCCUUAGCAAAUACCUGUGGAGGCAUCCCAGUCAAAGGUAGAACACUGUGUGCAUAGAUGUACUUAUUAAAAUAAAUAAUUAGAAUAAUAAUAAGAAUAAUAAAUACUUAGAA
Long non-coding RNA from Zonotrichia leucophrys gambelii, 1768 nucleotides. RefSeq lists it as uncharacterized. The transcript has 7 exons. NCBI's taxonomy places the organism in Eukaryota, Metazoa, Chordata, Aves, Passeriformes, Passerellidae. The record is from RefSeq and is a predicted model, not a curated record.